GACAGAGGUGCCAAGCGUUAGGCGGAAUCACUGGGCUUAAAGCGUGUGUAGGCGGAUCGUUAAGUACCUUGUGAAAUCCCACGGCUCAACCGUGGAACGGCUGGGUAUACUGGCGGUCUUGGGCCAUUCAGGGGCGACUGGAACAAGCGGUGGAGCGGUGAAAUGCGUAGAUAUCGCUUGGAACGCCGAAGGUGAAAACAGGUCGCUGGGGAUGUGCCGACGCUGAGACACGAAAGCCAGGGGAGCAAACGGG
This 253-nucleotide ribosomal RNA is filed under the name uncultured bacterium. RNAcentral's name for it is "partial 16S ribosomal RNA". It matches the Rfam family "Bacterial small subunit ribosomal RNA", at positions 524 to 776 of the family's 1533-position model. The record is from RNAcentral.